CGGACGGGUGAGUAACGCGUGGAAAACCUGCCGUAUACUGGGGGAUAACACUUAGAAAUAGGUGCUAAUACCGCAUAAGCGCACAGCUUCGCAUGAAGCGGUGUGAAAAACUCUGGUGGUAUACGAUGGUUCCGCGUCUGAUUAGCUAGUUGGUGGGGUAAUGGCCUACCAAGGCAACGAUCGGUAGCCGGCCUGAGAGGGUGAAUGGCCACAUUGGGACUGAGACACGGCCCAAACUCCUACGGGAGGCAGCAG
This 255-nucleotide ribosomal RNA is filed under the name uncultured bacterium. Its description in RNAcentral is "partial 16S ribosomal RNA". It matches the Rfam family "Bacterial small subunit ribosomal RNA", at positions 99 to 354 of the family's 1533-position model. The record is from RNAcentral.